UCAGAGUCGAUAUUAUUAUUCUUUUUACUGUGUUUAUUCUAAAGUACCAUUGACAUUUCUCUUUUUUUUCAGCUCAGCUACUCAGUUCUUUUUCUUUUUUGUCUUUGUAUACAAUUGAGUCUUUUCCUUUGGUGAGUGAUUUUCUUUGUGCCAUCAAAUUCUCUCUUUUCUUUUUUUUCUUUUUUUUAAUCAUCAUUUUUCUUAUAUAUAUUUUUCGCACUCACCUUAUUCAGCUUCUCAUGGGGCUACCCCAAACUUAAAAUGAAACACAACUUAAAGAACACAAAAAUCGCUCUGAACAGGGUAUGAAAGUG
Molecule: long non-coding RNA, 314 nt
Filed under: Lathyrus oleraceus (garden pea)
Lineage: Eukaryota; Viridiplantae; Streptophyta; Magnoliopsida; Fabales; Fabaceae
Description: Pisum sativum (pea) long non-coding RNA (PSAT_LNC010234)
Source: RNAcentral